GCAAGACAAGGAAAAGGCAAGGAAAGGCAAGGAAAAAGAAAAAGCAGGCAGAGGCAAGAAAAGUCAGGAAAAUAAUAGGCAAGGCAAGGCAGGGCAAGAGAGGAGAGUAGAGGAGAAAGAAAGAGAAAGGAGGAAGGAAAGAAAGAAAGAAAAAAGAAAAUAAGGCAAAAAAGGACAAAAGAAAACUAAUAAGGCGCGCUGUAGUUCCUACUUCACUGCUUGUCUCAAGCUGCAGUGGAUUUAAAGUGCAACCUCAAACAGCAUGAGUGUUGGCAAUGCUCUAUCUAAGCCGAAGCAUGACGAUGACAACAUAACAUGAAUAAAAAAUGUGAGUGUGGAGUAAUUGAGAGGGGAGGGAGCUUUUUGUAAGCAUUUGUUUGCAGAUAGUUUUAUGAUGAUUCAAUACAGUUGAUGUAAAAUCUGGCUGAGUUGAACUGGGUGUCAGCCAGCCCGGUGUGGCUACUAAAAUUUAGCCGAAAAUGAUAUUUUAUACCAAUUUAUUUAGGUGAGGAGAGGGGUGUUGCCUUUUGGGGCGGCAUCCCCCCCGCCAGCCCAGCCGCGAGGGCUGGUUCUGCUCCCCAGGGUCCCCCGCCACAAGCCAGUACAGGCGUUUGGCAGGCUGGUGGUGAACCACGUCAGAGAGCUGAUCCAGGGGGAAAAGAGGAAAAGGGAGAGAGGGGUGUUUUCUUUUCUUUUCCCAGGCUGUUUUUCCUGCCCUCGGCCAGCUACUAAGCGAGAGACCAGUGGGGCCUCCCAGAAGCCCUCCAGCAAACCUGCAGCAACGCGACUUGGUAUUUCCCCUGCUGCCAAGGGGUUUUGUCUGCCUGCAUUAACUCCAGCAGCCUUAGGAUGGGAAGGCUGGCUUAGCACAGCUGGCUGCGCUUUCAAGGCUCAAACCGAAGUGCUGCUCUUUCCUUUCAGCCGUGGGUGCAGAGGCUUCGACGCCGUGAAGAGUACAACUUUGACGCGCAGCGUGCAGGAAGGCAAAACACAACCCAGCUCCGAUUGGUUUAACCUACCGCGAGGGAUGCUCCAAAUUCCUCCCGAAAAACGUCAUUUUUGAGCCUUCGAUAGGAGAGAUGCAGAGGUUCUGUGGAAGGCGACGGGGCCAGCUUUCUGCAGGAGGGACGGGUGGUUUUGCAGCGUGUUCCUGGCAGAAGGAGAGAGGUGUUUGCAUCCAAGCUCUGAAGCCAUUACAGGAAAUUUUGCAAGGAAAAAUGGAAAGGACUGGUCGCUGCCCAAGACGCGCCAGAUUUCGGGAUGGAAGAGGAGUUGGUGAGCCAACCUGCACGUCAGAGUGUUUUGCAGUUGGAUCUGUUCCCUGGCCUGGACAGCUCAUGAUAUUUUAUGGAAGCCUAGUGCCAGCACGAGGAAGAGGAUGAGCAUGGACACCCUUAUCGGUGCCAAGGUGGACUUUUAAGUCAAUUAUGUGAAUAUUUCUUGAGUCUUUCCAAAGACACUGAAAUUACUGCACAAGUGCUAUAUGCCCUUGCCUGUUUUCCAGGAACGGGGAUUGAAACAGUUACUCCCUCUGCUACUAUUGAAUACCUUUUUCCAAAGGCUCCCUUGGGAAUGGGCUGCAGACCGAGUGAUGCUUUCUGGAAAGCUGCAUGGGUCAUAGCUGACCGCUGCUGCUUUGGGGUGGAAAUGCUGCGGUGAUGCCUCUUCUAUGUUGCCUGCACU
This is a long non-coding RNA of Aquila chrysaetos chrysaetos, 1683 nucleotides long. RefSeq lists it as uncharacterized. The transcript has 5 exons. The record is from RefSeq and is a predicted model, not a curated record. NCBI's taxonomy places the organism in Eukaryota, Metazoa, Chordata, Aves, Accipitriformes, Accipitridae.